RNAcentral lists this ribosomal RNA (1359 nucleotides) under uncultured bacterium. RNAcentral's name for it is "bacterial SSU rRNA". It matches the Rfam family "Bacterial small subunit ribosomal RNA", at positions 28 to 1381 of the family's 1533-position model. The record is from RNAcentral.
GAUGAACGCUAGCUACAGGCUUAACACAUGCAAGUCGAGGGGCAGCAUUUUAGUUUGCUUGCAAACUGAAGAUGGCGACCGGCGCACGGGUGAGUAACACGUAUCCAACCUGCCGAUAACUCCGGAAUAGCCUUUCGAAAGAAAGAUUAAUACCGGAUGGCAUACGAAUAUCGCAUGAUAUUUUUAUUAAAGAAUUUCGGUUAUCGAUGGGGAUGCGUUCCAUUAGUUUGUUGGCGGGGUAACGGCCCACCAAGACUACGAUGGAUAGGGGUUCUGAGAGGAAGGUCCCCCACAUUGGAACUGAGACACGGUCCAAACUCCUACGGGAGGCAGCAGUGAGGAAUAUUGGUCAAUGGGCGAGAGCCUGAACCAGCCAAGUAGCGUGAAGGAUGAAGGCUCUAUGGGUCGUAAACUUCUUUUAUAUGGGAAUAAAGUUUUCCACGUGUGGAAUUUUGUAUGUACCAUAUGAAUAAGGAUCGGCUAACUCCGUGCCAGCAGCCGCGGUAAUACGGAGGAUCCGAGCGUUAUCCGGAUUUAUUGGGUUUAAAGGGAGCGUAGGCGGAUUGUUAAGUCAGUUGUGAAAGUUUGCGGCUCAACCGUAAAAUUGCAGUUGAUACUGGCAGUCUUGAGUGCAGUAGAGGUGGGCGGAAUUCGUGGUGUAGCGGUGAAAUGCUUAGAUAUCACGAAGAACUCCGAUUGCGAAGGCAGCUCACUGGAGUGUAACUGACGCUGAUGCUCGAAAGUGUGGGUAUCAAACAGGAUUAGAUACCCUGGUAGUCCACACAGUAAACGAUGAAUACUCGCUGUUUGCGAUAUACAGUAAGCGGCCAAGCGAAAGCAUUAAGUAUUCCACCUGGGGAGUACGCCGGCAACGGUGAAACUCAAAGGAAUUGACGGGGGCCCGCACAAGCGGAGGAACAUGUGGUUUAAUUCGAUGAUACGCGAGGAACCUUACCCGGGCUUAAAUUGCAAAUGAAUUAUGGGGAAACCCAUACGCCGCAAGGCAUUUGUGAAGGUGCUGCAUGGUUGUCGUCAGCUCGUGCCGUGAGGUGUCGGCUUAAGUGCCAUAACGAGCGCAACCCUUAUCUUCAGUUACUAACAGGCCAUGCUGAGGACUCUGGAGAGACUGCCGUCGUAAGAUGUGAGGAAGGUGGGGAUGACGUCAAAUCAGCACGGCCCUUACGUCCGGGGCUACACACGUGUUACAAUGGGGGGUACAGAAGGCCGCUACCUGGUGACAGGAUGCCAAUCCCAAAAACCUCUCUCAGUUCGGAUCGAAGUCUGCAACCCGACUUCGUGAAGCUGGAUUCGCUAGUAAUCGCGCAUCAGCCAUGGCGCGGUGAAUACGUUCCCGGGCCU